This 467-nucleotide ribosomal RNA is filed under the name uncultured bacterium. RNAcentral's name for it is "partial 16S ribosomal RNA". It matches the Rfam family "Bacterial small subunit ribosomal RNA", at positions 28 to 506 of the family's 1533-position model. The record is from RNAcentral.
GACGAACGCUGGCGGCGUGCUUAACACAUGCAAGUCGAACGGAAAGGCCCUGCUUUUGUGGGGUGCUCGAGUGGCGAACGGGUGAGUAACACGUGAGUAACCUGCCCUUGACUUUGGGAUAACUUCAGGAAACUGGGGCUAAUACCGGAUAGGAGCUCCUGCUGCAUGGUGGGGGUUGGAAAGGUUCGGCGGUUGGGGAGGGACUGGCGGCUGAUCAGGUUGUUGGUGGGGUAGUGGCUUACCAAGGCUUUGACGGGUAGCCGGCCUGAGGGGGUGACGGGCCACAUUGGGACUGGGAUACGGCCCAGAGUCCGGCGGGAGGCAGCAGUGGGGAAUAUUGCACAAUGGGCGGAAGCGUGAUGCAGCAACGCCGCGUGCGGGAUGACGGCCUUCGGGUUGGAAACCGCUUUCGCCUGUGACGAAGCGUGAGGGAGGGUAAUGGGUAAAGAAGCACCGGCUAAUUACGG